Molecule: ribosomal RNA, 301 nt
Filed under: uncultured bacterium
Lineage: Bacteria
Description: partial 16S ribosomal RNA
Rfam family: Bacterial small subunit ribosomal RNA
Source: RNAcentral
CAGUCGCCGCGGUAAUACGUAGGGUGCAAGCGUUAAUCGGAAUUACUGGGCGUAAAGCGUGCGCAGGCGGUUAUAUAAGACAGAUGUGAAAUCCCCGGGCUCAACCUGGGAACUGCAUUUGUGACUGUAUAGCUAGAGUACGGCAGAGGGGGAUGGAAUUCCGCGUGUAGCAGUGAAAUGUGUAGAUAUGCGGAGGAACACCGAUGGCGAAGGCAAUCCCCUGGGCCUGUACUGACGCUCAUGCACGAAAGCGUGGGGAGCAAACAGGAUUAGAUACCCGGGUAGUCCCUGUCUCUUAUAC